CCGGGUUCCAUCGAGACCUCAGCCAGAGAACCACACAUUAUCUCUCCGUGAAAACACGAAGGGAAGUAGCACUGAAGGGGAAAAGUGGAGGAGGAGACCGCCGAAAACGGAGCAGCGCGGAGGCCGUCGCCGCCGCCGAGCACGGAGCCGCGCGGAAGGCAGCCGUCUCCACACGGCCGCCGCCUCGCGCCGAGCACGGAGCAGCGGGGAGCCGGCGCCGAGCACGGCUGUCGCCGGCAUGAAUCACGAAGCAGCACUGGAGGCUGGCGUCGCCGCCAAGCACGAAGCAGCGCUGGAAGCCGUCAUGGUCGCCAAGUACGGAGCUGCGGAGCUGCGGUGGAGGCAUCCGCCGCCGAGCACAUCAAGCCACGAACCCCAGUAGUCCCGUACCUGUUGUCCUCUUGAUUUGAUUUGGCUGAGAUACUUUUUGAUUUCUGCAUGUGAAUCUAGAGUGACAAUACCGUGCAUGUGCAUCAAUUUGCCUGUGGGAAAUGGAUUCCUCGCAGAUUUUUUAGUCUAGAACCUGGUAGUUAGGCUUAAUUAAAAUUGCAAUUAGGCUUAAUGAACCUGGCAGUUUUCUUUGCCA
Molecule: non-coding RNA, 586 nt
Organism: Lolium perenne
Lineage: Eukaryota; Viridiplantae; Streptophyta; Magnoliopsida; Poales; Poaceae
Source: RefSeq, a predicted model, not a curated record